AACGAACGCUGGCGGCAGGCUUAACACAUGCAAGUCGAACGGGUGUAGCAAUACAUCAGUGGCCGACGGGUGAGUAACACGUGGGAACCUUCCUAGGGGUACGGAACAACUCAGGGAAACUUGAGCUAAUACCGUAUACGUCCGUGAGGAGAAAGAUUUAUCGCCCUUAGACGGUGCCGCGUCGGAUUAGCUAAUUGGUGGGGUAACGGCCUACCAAGGCGACGAUCCGUAGCUGAUCUUAGAGGAUGAUCAGCCACACUGGGACUGAGACACGGCCCAGACUCCUACGGGAGGCAGCAGUGGGGAAUCUUGGACAAUGGGCGCAAGCCUGAUCCAGCCAUGCCGCGUGAGUGAAGAAGGUCUUCGGAUUGUAAAGCUCUUUUGCCAGGGACGAUAAUGACGGUACCUGGAGAAUAAGCCCCGGCAAACUUCGUGCCCGCCGCCGCCGUAA
RNAcentral lists this ribosomal RNA (451 nucleotides) under uncultured bacterium. Its description in RNAcentral is "partial 16S ribosomal RNA". It matches the Rfam family "Bacterial small subunit ribosomal RNA", at positions 29 to 523 of the family's 1533-position model. The record is from RNAcentral.